RNAcentral lists this ribosomal RNA (274 nucleotides) under uncultured bacterium. RNAcentral describes it as "partial 16S ribosomal RNA". It matches the Rfam family "Bacterial small subunit ribosomal RNA", at positions 523 to 796 of the family's 1533-position model. The record is from RNAcentral.
AUACGAAGGUCCCAAGCGUUAUUCGGAAUCACUGGGCGUAAAGAGUACGUAGGCGGUUUGGUAAGUCAGGUGUGAAAUCCCGGAGCUCAACUCCGGAACUGCAUCCGAUACUGCCAGACUUGAGUAAUGGAGAGGCAGGUGGAAUUCUCGGUGUAGCAGUGAAAUGCGUGGAUAUCGAGAGGAAGACCAAUGGCGAAGGCAGCCUGCUGGACAUUUACUGACGCUGAGGUACGAAGGCUAGGGGAGCGAAAGGGAUUAGAAACCCUAGUAGUCC